GGCUCAGAUUGAACGCUGGCGGCAUGCUUUACACAUGCAAGUCGAACGGCAGCACGGGCUUCGGCCUGGUGGCGAGUGGCGAACGGGUGAGUAAUGCAUCGGAACGUGCCCAUGUUGUGGGGGAUAACUACGCGAAAGCGUGGCUAAUACCGCAUACGCCCUGAGGGGGAAAGCGGGGGAUUCUUCGGAACCUCGCGCAAUUGGAGCGGCCGAUGUCAGAUUAGCUUGUUGGUGAGGUAAAGGCUCACCAAGGCGACGAUCUGUAGCGGGUCUGAGAGGAUGAUCCGCCACACUGGGACUGAGACACGGCCCAGACUCCUACGGGAGGCAGCAGUGGGGAAUUUUGGACAAUGGGGGCAACCCUGAUCCAGCCAUGCCGCGUGAGUGAAGAAGGCCUUCGGGUUGUAAAGCUCUUUCAGCCGGGAAGAAAACGCACGCUCUAACAUAGCGUGUGGAUGACGGUACCGGACCAAGAAGCACCGGCUAACUACGUG
This 494-nucleotide ribosomal RNA is filed under the name uncultured bacterium. RNAcentral describes it as "bacterial SSU rRNA". It matches the Rfam family "Bacterial small subunit ribosomal RNA", at positions 21 to 507 of the family's 1533-position model. The record is from RNAcentral.